This 253-nucleotide ribosomal RNA is filed under the name uncultured bacterium. Its description in RNAcentral is "partial 16S ribosomal RNA". It matches the Rfam family "Bacterial small subunit ribosomal RNA", at positions 524 to 776 of the family's 1533-position model. The record is from RNAcentral.
UACAGAGGGUGCAAGCGUUAAUCGGAAUUACUGGGCGUAAAGCGUGCGCAGGCGGUUUUGUAAGUCAGAUGUGAAAUCCCCGGGCUUAACCUGGGAACUGCGUUUGAAACUACAAGGCUAGAGUGUGGCAGAGGGGGGUGGAAUUCCACGUGUAGCAGUGAAAUGCGUAGAGAUGUGGAGGAACACCGAUGGCGAAGGCAGCCCCCUGGGUUAACACUGACGCUCAGGCACGAAAGCGUGGGGAGCAAACAGG